Long non-coding RNA from Cyprinus carpio (common carp), 1227 nucleotides. The record is from Ensembl. NCBI's taxonomy places the organism in Eukaryota, Metazoa, Chordata, Actinopteri, Cypriniformes, Cyprinidae.
ACAAACCAAAAACAAACCGUUUGACUGGUGUGAAAAGAACAAUAAAAGCUUUGAAAGAACCCUUAGAGUUACCAAUGAGCCCUAGUGCUUCAAACCUGAACCUAUAGUUACCAGUCAGCCACAGUACAGUAUUGAAACGCCUGGUUAUAAAGUCAGAAAACAUCAUCUUUCUGAAGAAUUCAAGUUCAAGCCGUGGCUCAGAAAAUCAACCGCAACCAUCCUCAACAUCUGCUGGGUCCUCACAUCCAAUCCGACCCAAACCCUCACCACACAUACCCUCUUCCCUGCCAACUCUGGGAAAUCCUAACAAUAUGAAAAAUACUCCUCAGUUUGUGUCAUUAUCUCAACCAGCAAAGCAAUUGGUGUCACACAAUAGCUCAGUGGCUGGAAAUCAGUUUGAGAGCACAGUACCAAACCCAGAGAAGAGAGAGCAUUCAGAGACCUCCGUUUUAUGUCCACUCAACCCUUUAAAAAACUAUGAACAACCGGAGGAGCCACUGUUCAUAGAUUUCAAGGACUUGGAUAAUAAAGUGCUCGCAUCAAUGAACAAAACAUGGACAGUGAUGGCCACCGCUCAACACAGACAGAAACGCAGAGGCGUGAUGGGAAUCUCCCAAUAAAAUUGGAAACAGGGACACAAACAGGAGCUUUAUCUUACCGAGAUGUCUCAGUUCGGUGCUCACUUAUUCAUCACAGCAACUCUGUCUCUUUCCCCACUGCUGAUCAGAAAACCCAUGUCUUUACCACAAGGUGGCAGUGUCUUAAUUUUAAUCAGUUGCUCAAUCCAACUAGACUGGCCCUGUGUCUCAACGUGCUUACUUAUACUACGCUUUUAAAGUAUGUACUCUUUUGAUGAAGAAAAAGUACACACUUUUGAGUGUGUAGUAGAAGAGUAGGGAAGCUUUGGGACAUACUAUAACGUCAUACAAUUGUGUCUUUAAAGGACCGCUUUGUCGCACCUGUUACACGCACCCUGUCACUGUAAACUGGCCUGUCAAUCAUCUUGUAACAGUUAGCAUCCUUCACAUUUAAUUUCAUUUAACUUCCGACCGUACUGGAGAGAAAAUAAGUAGCUUGUUGAUCUGCCAGUCGCAGGUCUUUCAUGCGGAGAACUCUGCUCAUUUUCUGCCUAAUGAUGCAUUUAAAAGUUAACGACCAAAUGGAUGUUUAUAAAAGUUCACAUUGCUGUUGCAGAUGAACUAUAACACUGAUAACAAUAAAUAAAUA